ACAGCUCAGUAACACGUAGGUAAUCUACCCUUCGGACAGGCAUAACCCCGGGAAACUGGGGCUAAUUCCUGAUAGGCACCCCCUUCUGGAAUGUGGGGAUGUCCAAAGCUCCGGCGCCGAAGGAUGGGCCUGCGGCCGAUUAGGUUGUUGGCGGGGUAACAGCCCACCAAGCCGACGAUCGGUACGGGCAGUGAGAGCUGUAGCCCGGAGAUGGGGACUGAGACAAGGCCCCAGGCCCUACGGGGCGCAGCAGGCGCGAAACCUUCACAAUGCACGAAAGUGUGAUGAGGGUACUCCGAGUGCGCAUACAUUGUAUGUGCUUUUCUGCAGCGUAAAUAGUUGCAGGAAUAAGGGCUGGGCAAGACCGGUGCCAGCCGCCGCGGUAACACCGGCAGCCCUAGUGGUGGCCGCUUUUAUUGGGCCUAAAGCGUCCGUAGCCGGAUAGGCAAGUCUUUGGGUAAAUCCUACGUCUUAAGCGUGGGAAUUCUAAAGAUACUACCUGUCUUGAGGCCGGGAGAGGCUAGAGGUACUCCUGGGGUAGGGGUAAAAUCCUAUAAUCCUGGGGGGACCACCGAUGGCGAAGGCAUCUAGCUGGAACGGGCCUGACGGUGAGGGACGAAACCCAGGGGAGCGAGCCGGAUUAGAUACCCGGGUAGUCCUGGGCGUAAAUGAUGUGGGCUUGGUGUGAGCGCAUCGACGAGGUGCGUUUGUGCCGUAGGGAAGCCGUUAAGCCCACCGCCUGGGGAGUACGGUCGCAAGGCUGAAACUUAAAGGAAUUGGCGGGGGAG
Molecule: ribosomal RNA, 788 nt
Filed under: uncultured archaeon
Lineage: Archaea
Description: bacterial SSU rRNA
Rfam family: Archaeal small subunit ribosomal RNA
Source: RNAcentral